RNAcentral lists this ribosomal RNA (648 nucleotides) under Bacillus cereus. RNAcentral describes it as "bacterial SSU rRNA". It matches the Rfam family "Bacterial small subunit ribosomal RNA", at positions 56 to 685 of the family's 1533-position model. The record is from RNAcentral. Lineage: Bacteria; Bacillati; Bacillota; Bacilli; Caryophanales; Bacillaceae.
UGCAGUCGAGCGAAUGGAUUAAGAGCUUGCUCUUAUGAAGUUAGCGGCGGACGGGUGAGUAACACGUGGGUAACCUGCCCAUAAGACUGGGAUAACUCCGGGAAACCGGGGCUAAUACCGGAUAACAUUUUGAACCGCAUGGUUCGAAAUUGAAAGGCGGCUUCGGCUGUCACUUAUGGAUGGACCCGCGUCGCAUUAGCUAGUUGGUGAGGUAACGGCUCACCAAGGCAACGAUGCGUAGCCGACCUGAGAGGGUGAUCGGCCACACUGGGACUGAGACACGGCCCAGACUCCUACGGGAGGCAGCAGUAGGGAAUCUUCCGCAAUGGACGAAAGUCUGACGGAGCAACGCCGCGUGAGUGAUGAAGGCUUUCGGGUCGUAAAACUCUGUUGUUAGGGAAGAACAAGUGCUAGUUGAAUAAGCUGGCACCUUGACGGUACCUAACCAGAAAGCCACGGCUAACUACGUGCCAGCAGCCGCGGUAAUACGUAGGUGGCAAGCGUUAUCCGGAAUUAUUGGGCGUAAAGCGCGCGCAUGUGGUUUCUUAAGUCUGAUGUGAAAGCCCACGGCUCAACCGUGGAGGGUCAUUGGAAACUGGGAGACUUGAGUGCAGAGGAGGAAAGUGGAAUUCCAUGUGUAGCGAUGAA